UCAAGGACUGUGGCCUGUCCUGCCAGUGUCUGGGCCUUUGGCACUUGGCGGGCGGGUUGCUCAUCUCUACCAUAGAGGAGUCCAUCAGGCCAACGGGACCUAUGCAGGUUGCUGCCGGGUACUUCUCUGAUGAGCCAGAAGGAGAGCCAUCGCAGCCCAUGAUAAGCACAGACAUGGUGGCCAUGCACAGCUGUGGCUGCAAGCACAGCUCUGGGGGCACUACCAUCUGCCUGCAGCACAUAAUCUCCUCUCUGCUUGGGACACAUCAACCCUGGACAUCAGUAGCUAAGCAAGAAACAGCUGUCUUGCCUCUGGUUGUUGGCCUGCUAAAACAACUGCCCCCAGUCCCUGCUUCAGGGAAUUCAGCUCCUCCCUGCACUUGGCGCCUUAGCCCUGGGCGACCUCCCUGCAUGCGCCCUAAGUGGGUCCCUCCACUCCAGUCCAAGCAGCUCCUAUGGAGGCCCCGCCCCACGACUUCCUCUGACACCAGCUCCUGCCCACUGCUAGUCCCCUCAGGUCCCUGGCUCUCCGGGUUCUUUGCUGAGAGCGCGCCAGAGCCCAGGUCUCCCUCAGGACCCUGGGAGAAGGCCAGGAGGCCCAGAGGGCAGCCCAAGCCGCUUGGAACUCGCUCCUUGAAACACAGAUCCUCCCCCACAGCGAGGCCUCCUGGGAAGGAGGCUUGAGUGGCGCAGGGCGUCUUGAAACUGGUUCCGCACGGUGGCGGUAGAGCUCCAGCUAUGGCCAGCAGCCCUGGGCCUGAGCGCGCCUCUCCCGCCCUGGCUGUCUGAAAAAACGCCACCCAGACAAAGGCACCAGGCAACAUGGCCGCCCUGUCCUUUGCCCAGUUCUGAGGAAGCAGCUCCCGAUGCUGCUUUUGCUUUUUCAGUAUUUGUGGCGUUUGGUUCACGAUGUUUGCCUCUGUCGUGAUUCUGCCCGAGACAGGCUUUGCCGUGUUGCCCAGGACCAGCUGGAAAUCGUGGUGCCAGUGCAGCAGCUUCCAGCUCCUCUCUCCUGUUGUUUUCCAUCUGAACUCUGACCAAGGCCUGAGUGCCAUCCUCCCCUGGGCCUCCCCUCUCUCUGGUGGAACGUUCAGGGAGGCCCUGCUCAUUCAGUCUGUUCUGAGUUGAACUGCACCCAGUCUUCCUCCCUCUGUAGUUUGUGAGUGCUCAGACCAGGUGAGAGAAAUGACACGGUUCGGUUUGUUUUUUACUCUUUUUAGGACACAAGAAGUUGGGAAUCCAACGUGUCAAUAUGUAUGUCUUCCAGAGAGCCAAUGUGCACAUGGUGAUGUGUCUUAGUCUAGGUUCUGUUGCCAUAACAAAAAUACCUGAAGCUGAGUAUUUUGUAAGAAAUGGACAUUUCCUGUCCUCAUGGUUGUGGAGAUGGGAAAUCUAAGAAUAGGACCUCAGUGUCUGCUGAGCCGUUGGUGGGGGUCUUCUUGCUUAAUCAUAAUGUGGAAGAGGCCAGCACAGAGAGACAGAGGAAGCUUCUUGGAGACACCUGGCUUUUAUAGCAGAGUCACUCCCCACAAAACCUAUGAAUCCAUGAGUGGACUGAUCAGUGCCUGUGCAUGAGGGCAGAGUUCUCAUGAGCCAGUGACCUCCCAGAAAUACUUCAGUUCCCGUUCACACAUAAUUUUGGGAUUAACUUUCCGACAAUGGGUUUCCAGGGCACAACCAUUGAAACCAUACUAUGAAGUGACUUUUAAAGUUGAAUGAAAAUCGCUAGCAUCAUCUACUUUUCUAAAGUGGCCUUAAAAAACGAGUCUGUCACAAGGAGAGAGAGAGGAAGCUUCUUCGAGACACCUGACUGGUGUCCUCCAGCCUGGAUGUUGGUUUAUUUUCAAGUUUCCCCUUUAGAUUUCAGGCAGAGAAUGUUGAGGUAGGGGACUUGGUGUUGUGGUAUUCAUGUAUUUUAUGUCCUCUAGGCUGUGGUGAAUGCAGACAUGGGAAGAAGUGGUCACGUGGAAAGUGAGUUCAAAAAGAGAGAGAGAACAUGAAAAUGGGGACAUCUUCUAUCAUUGGAAGCAGAAGGCACGAGGGAAAAGAUAGUCGUCCACCUCCCCUUGAGGGCUCACAUCCAGCAGUCGAUGGGGCGCCCCAGGAUCCACAAGCAGCUUAUAGUAGGUGGCGGCAGCAACAACACAGGAAACAGACGCCCUGGCUCAGGUUCCUGUUCUCCCAAAAGAGCUGCCCCUGGCCAUGGCUUCUGGGAAUUCAGCGCCUCCUCGCGCUGGGCACCUAGGCCCAGGGAGACCUCCCUGGAUUGCCCCUUAGUGGGUCCCUCCGCUCCAGUCCAAGCAGCUCCUAUGGAGGCCCCGCCCCACGACUUCCUCUGACACCAGCUCCUGCCCACUGCUAGUCCCCUCAGGUCCCUGGCUCUCCGGGUUCUUUGCUGAGAGCGCGCCAGAGCCCAGGUCUCCCUCAGGACCCUGGGAGAAGGCCAGGAGGCCCAGAGGGCAGCCCAAGCCGCUUGGAACUCGCUCCUUGAAACACAGAUCCUCCCCCACAGCGAGGCCUCCUGGGAAGGAGGCUUGAGUGGCGCAGGGCGUCUUGAAACUGGUUCCGCACGGUGGCGGUAGAGCUCCAGCUAUGGCCAGCAGCCCUGGGCCUGAGCGCGCCUCUCCCGCCCUGGCUGUCUGAAAAAACGCCACCCAGACAAAGGCACCAGGCAACAUGGCCGCCCUGUCCUUUGCCCAGUUCUGAGGAAGCAGCUCCCGAUGCUGCUUUUGCUUUUUCAGUAUUUGUGGCGUUUGGUUCACGAUGUUUGCCUCUGUCGUGAUUCUGCCCGAGACAGGCUUUGCCGUGUUGCCCAGGACCAGCUGGAAAUCGUGGUGCCAGUGCAGCAGCUUCCAGCUCCUCUCUCCUGUUGUUUUCCAUCUGAACUCUGACCAAGGCCUGAGUGCCAUCCUCCCCUGGGCCUCCCCUCUCUCUGGUGGAACGUUCAGGGAGGCCCUGCUCAUUCAGUCUGUUCUGAGUUGAACUGCACCCAGUCUUCCUCCCUCUGUAGUUUGUGAGUGCUCAGACCAGGUGAGAGAAAUGACACGGUUCGGUUUGUUUUUUACUCUUUUUAGGACACAAGAAGUUGGGAAUCCAACGUGUCAAUAUGUAUGUCUUCCAGAGAGCCAAUGUGCACAUGGUGAUGUGUCUUAGUCUAGGUUCUGUUGCCAUAACAAAAAUACCUGAAGCUGAGUAUUUUGUAAGAAAUGGACAUUUCCUGUCCUCAUGGUUGUGGAGAUGGGAAAUCUAAGAAUAGGACCUCAGUGUCUGCUGAGCCGUUGGUGGGGGUCUUCUUGCUUAAUCAUAAUGUGGAAGAGGCCAGCACAGAGAGACAGAGGAAGCUUCUUGGAGACACCUGGCUUUUAUAGCAGAGUCACUCCCCACAAAACCUAUGAAUCCAUGAGUGGACUGAUCAGUGCCUGUGCAUGAGGGCAGAGUUCUCAUGAGCCAGUGACCUCCCAGAAAUACUUCAGUUCCCGUUCACACAUAAUUUUGGGAUUAACUUUCCGACAAUGGGUUUCCAGGGCACAACCAUUGAAACCAUACUAUGAAGUGACUUUUAAAGUUGAAUGAAAAUCGCUAGCAUCAUCUACUUUUCUAAAGUGGCCUUAAAAAACGAGUCUGUCACAAGGAGAGAGAGAGGAAGCUUCUUCGAGACACCUGACUGGUGUCCUCCAGCCUGGAUGUUGGUUUAUUUUCAAGUUUCCCCUUUAGAUUUCAGGCAGAGAAUGUUGAGGUAGGGGACUUGGUGUUGUGGUAUUCAUGUAUUUUAUGUCCUCUAGGCUGUGGUGAAUGCAGACAUGGGAAGAAGUGGUCACGUGGAAAGUGAGUUCAAAAAGAGAGAGAGAACAUGAAAAUGGGGACAUCUUCUAUCAUUGGAAGCAGAAGGCACGAGGGAAAAGAUAGUCGUCCACCUCCCCUUGAGGGCUCACAUCCAGCAGUCGAUGGGGCGCCCCAGGAUCCACAAGCAGCUUAUAGUAGGUGGCGGCAGCAACAACACAGGAAACAGACGCCCUGGCUCAGGUUCCUGUUCUCCCAAAAGAGCUGCCCCUGGCCAUGGCUUCUGGGAAUUCAGCGCCUCCUCGCGCUGGGCACCUAGGCCCAGGGAGACCUCCCUGGAUUGCCCCUUAGUGGGUCCCUCCGCUCCAGUCCAAGCAGCUCCUAUGGAGGCCCCGCCCCACGACUUCCUCUGACACCAGCUCCUGCCCACUGCUAGUCCCCUCAGGUCCCUGGCUCUCCGGGUUCUUUGCUGAGAGCGCGCCAGAGCCCAGGUCUCCCUCAGGACCCUGGGAGAAGGCCAGGAGGCCCAGAGGGCAGCCCAAGCCGCUUGGAACUCGCUCCUUGAAACACAGAUCCUCCCCCACAGCGAGGCCUCCUGGGAAGGAGGCUUGAGUGGCGCAGGGCGUCUUGAAACUGGUUCCGCACGGUGGCGGUAGAGCUCCAGCUAUGGCCAGCAGCCCUGGGCCUGAGCGCGCCUCUCCCGCCCUGGCUGUCUGAAAAAACGCCACCCAGACAAAGGCACCAGGCAACAUGGCCGCCCUGUCCUUUGCCCAGUUCUGAGGAAGCAGCUCCCGAUGCUGCUUUUGCUUUUUCAGUAUUUGUGGCGUUUGGUUCACGAUGUUUGCCUCUGUCGUGAUUCUGCCCGAGACAGGCUUUGCCGUGUUGCCCAGGACCAGCUGGAAAUCGUGGUGCCAGUGCAGCAGCUUCCAGCUCCUCUCUCCUGUUGUUUUCCAUCUGAACUCUGACCAAGGCCUGAGUGCCAUCCUCCCCUGGGCCUCCCCUCUCUCUGGUGGAACGUUCAGGGAGGCCCUGCUCAUUCAGUCUGUUCUGAGUUGAACUGCACCCAGUCUUCCUCCCUCUGUAGUUUGUGAGUGCUCAGACCAGGUGAGAGAAAUGACACGGUUCGGUUUGUUUUUUACUCUUUUUAGGACACAAGAAGUUGGGAAUCCAACGUGUCAAUAUGUAUGUCUUCCAGAGAGCCAAUGUGCACAUGGUGAUGUGUCUUAGUCUAGGUUCUGUUGCCAUAACAAAAAUACCUGAAGCUGAGUAUUUUGUAAGAAAUGGACAUUUCCUGUCCUCAUGGUUGUGGAGAUGGGAAAUCUAAGAAUAGGACCUCAGUGUCUGCUGAGCCGUUGGUGGGGGUCUUCUUGCUUAAUCAUAAUGUGGAAGAGGCCAGCACAGAGAGACAGAGGAAGCUUCUUGGAGACACCUGGCUUUUAUAGCAGAGUCACUCCCCACAAAACCUAUGAAUCCAUGAGUGGACUGAUCAGUGCCUGUGCAUGAGGGCAGAGUUCUCAUGAGCCAGUGACCUCCCAGAAAUACUUCAGUUCCCGUUCACACAUAAUUUUGGGAUUAACUUUCCGACAAUGGGUUUCCAGGGCACAACCAUUGAAACCAUACUAUGAAGUGACUUUUAAAGUUGAAUGAAAAUCGCUAGCAUCAUCUACUUUUCUAAAGUGGCCUUAAAAAACGAGUCUGUCACAAGGAGAGAGAGAGGAAGCUUCUUCGAGACACCUGACUGGUGUCCUCCAGCCUGGAUGUUGGUUUAUUUUCAAGUUUCCCCUUUAGAUUUCAGGCAGAGAAUGUUGAGGUAGGGGACUUGGUGUUGUGGUAUUCAUGUAUUUUAUGUCCUCUAGGCUGUGGUGAAUGCAGACAUGGGAAGAAGUGGUCACGUGGAAAGUGAGUUCAAAAAGAGAGAGAGAACAUGAAAAUGGGAGUCGGUAACACUGAGCUGCACUCCAAUGGGCCAGAUCCUGUGGAAAUGAAGUUCCACCCGCACAGGUGUCCUCAGGAAGGAGGAGUAGAUUCAGGCUUCUGAUGAAACCUGAAAGCAGUCCUGUGCUGGAGACCAAGGACAUCUUCUAUCAUUGGAAGCAGAAGGCACGAGGGAAAAGAUAGUCGUCCACCUCCCCUUGAGGGCUCACAUCCAGCAGUCGAUGGGGCGCCCCAGGAUCCACAAGCAGCUUAUAGUAGGUGGCGGCAGCAACAACACAGGAAACAGACGCCCUGGCUCAGGUUCCUGUUCUCCCAAAAGAGCUGCCCCUGGCCAUGGCUUCUGGGAAUUCAGCGCCUCCUCGCGCUGGGCACCUAGGCCCAGGGAGACCUCCCUGGAUUGCCCCUUAGUGGGUCCCUCCGCUCCAGUCCAAGCAGCUCCUAUGGAGGCCCCGCCCCACGACUUCCUCUGACACCAGCUCCUGCCCACUGCUAGUCCCCUCAGGUCCCUGGCUCUCCGGGUUCUUUGCUGAGAGCGCGCCAGAGCCCAGGUCUCCCUCAGGACCCUGGGAGAAGGCCAGGAGGCCCAGAGGGCAGCCCAAGCCGCUUGGAACUCGCUCCUUGAAACACAGAUCCUCCCCCACAGCGAGGCCUCCUGGGAAGGAGGCUUGAGUGGCGCAGGGCGUCUUGAAACUGGUUCCGCACGGUGGCGGUAGAGCUCCAGCUAUGGCCAGCAGCCCUGGGCCUGAGCGCGCCUCUCCCGCCCUGGCUGUCUGAAAAAACGCCACCCAGACAAAGGCACCAGGCAACAUGGCCGCCCUGUCCUUUGCCCAGUUCUGAGGAAGCAGCUCCCGAUGCUGCUUUUGCUUUUUCAGUAUUUGUGGCGUUUGGUUCACGAUGUUUGCCUCUGUCGUGAUUCUGCCCGAGACAGGCUUUGCCGUGUUGCCCAGGACCAGCUGGAAAUCGUGGUGCCAGUGCAGCAGCUUCCAGCUCCUCUCUCCUGUUGUUUUCCAUCUGAACUCUGACCAAGGCCUGAGUGCCAUCCUCCCCUGGGCCUCCCCUCUCUCUGGUGGAACGUUCAGGGAGGCCCUGCUCAUUCAGUCUGUUCUGAGUUGAACUGCACCCAGUCUUCCUCCCUCUGUAGUUUGUGAGUGCUCAGACCAGGUGAGAGAAAUGACACGGUUCGGUUUGUUUUUUACUCUUUUUAGGACACAAGAAGUUGGGAAUCCAACGUGUCAAUAUGUAUGUCUUCCAGAGAGCCAAUGUGCACAUGGUGAUGUGUCUUAGUCUAGGUUCUGUUGCCAUAACAAAAAUACCUGAAGCUGAGUAUUUUGUAAGAAAUGGACAUUUCCUGUCCUCAUGGUUGUGGAGAUGGGAAAUCUAAGAAUAGGACCUCAGUGUCUGCUGAGCCGUUGGUGGGGGUCUUCUUGCUUAAUCAUAAUGUGGAAGAGGCCAGCACAGAGAGACAGAGGAAGCUUCUUGGAGACACCUGGCUUUUAUAGCAGAGUCACUCCCCACAAAACCUAUGAAUCCAUGAGUGGACUGAUCAGUGCCUGUGCAUGAGGGCAGAGUUCUCAUGAGCCAGUGACCUCCCAGAAAUACUUCAGUUCCCGUUCACACAUAAUUUUGGGAUUAACUUUCCGACAAUGGGUUUCCAGGGCACAACCAUUGAAACCAUACUAUGAAGUGACUUUUAAAGUUGAAUGAAAAUCGCUAGCAUCAUCUACUUUUCUAAAGUGGCCUUAAAAAACGAGUCUGUCACAAGGAGAGAGAGAGGAAGCUUCUUCGAGACACCUGACUGGUGUCCUCCAGCCUGGAUGUUGGUUUAUUUUCAAGUUUCCCCUUUAGAUUUCAGGCAGAGAAUGUUGAGGUAGGGGACUUGGUGUUGUGGUAUUCAUGUAUUUUAUGUCCUCUAGGCUGUGGUGAAUGCAGACAUGGGAAGAAGUGGUCACGUGGAAAGUGAGUUCAAAAAGAGAGAGAGAACAUGAAAAUGGGGACAUCUUCUAUCAUUGGAAGCAGAAGGCACGAGGGAAAAGAUAGUCGUCCACCUCCCCUUGAGGGCUCACAUCCAGCAGUCGAUGGGGCGCCCCAGGAUCCACAAGCAGCUUAUAGUAGGUGACAGAAACCUGUUCUUCUGGGCUCAGUAAUUGCAAGGAAGGGCACUUCUCAGUAGCUGGUGAGUCACAGAAAGCCUCACAGCCCUGCAGGUGAGUAACAGAGGGCGCUCCCAGGUCAGCUGCUCAGUGGGGCCUGGGCCCCCAUAGCUGAAUACACUGGAAAUGCCCUAUUAUGGGGUUCGGAGAGCAACAGGCUGCCCUUCUAAGAGGGACUUUGGCCCGCAGGGACCUUAGGACCUUCCAGUGCCCGCAGGUAGCCCAGUACACCUGUCCAAGGGCUGUGGCCUGUCCUGCCAGUGCCUAGCCAUUGGGCACU
This is a long non-coding RNA of Marmota monax (woodchuck), 8144 nucleotides long. RefSeq lists it as uncharacterized. The record is from RefSeq and is a predicted model, not a curated record. Lineage: Eukaryota; Metazoa; Chordata; Mammalia; Rodentia; Sciuridae. The transcript has 9 exons.